This 2316-nucleotide long non-coding RNA is filed under the name Podarcis lilfordi (Lilford's wall lizard). Lineage: Eukaryota; Metazoa; Chordata; Lepidosauria; Squamata; Lacertidae. The record is from RNAcentral.
GAAGGAGAAAGGAAGCUCUGCGCGUGCGCGGCAGGUUCGCAGGGGGAGGAGGGCGCAGGAGGCUGCGCAUGCGCGGGAAGGGUCUUGUGUACUCUCGCCUUUCGUUAUCGCGCAGUGAAGUCCAGCCAGUUUGGACUCCCAAGUGGUUGCUGGGUCGCCCUUUUUCCAAGGUAGAUGCAAAGCGACGAGUGAGGUUUGCAGCUCUACCCUGUGCGUUGUGUGUAGGGGAGGAAGAACCUUUGGCUUCAUUUCCUCCCACUUUGGGGAUGCACAGCGUUGCUGCAAUAUUACCUGCAGUGGGGUCAAGGUUGGUGGUUCGAGCCCGCCCAGGCACGGCUGCGGGCAGGAUUCCUGCAUUGCAGGGAGUUGGACAAGACCACCCCUGGGGGGUCCCUUCCAACUCUACUAUUCUACGAUAUGUAAUCCUAUUUACGUUUAAUAAUAAUAAUAUUUUUUUAUUUAUACCCCGCCCUCCCCAGCCAAAACCGGGCUCAGGGCGGCUAACAGCCAAUAAUAAAAACAAGUUGAUUAAAAUACAGUUUAAAAAAGAUUAAAAUGCAACAUUAAAACAUUAGGAUGCAGCCUCUUCACAGGAGGAGAAAGGAAAAAGAAAGAGGGGGAGGGAAUCAAACUGAUUCUAAGCCAAAGGCCAGGUGGAACAACUCUGUCUUACAGGCCCUGUGGAAAGAAAUCAGAUCCCGCAGGGCCCUGGUCUCAUGAGGCAGAGCGUUCCACCAGGCCGGAGCCAGUGUUGAGAAGGCCCUGGCUCUGGUUGAGGCUAAUCUAAUUUCCUUAGGGCCCGGGACCUCUAGGGUGUUGCUAUAUAUGGACCUUAAGGUCCUUUCUCCGAAAGUAAACCACAUUGAGACUUUACUUCCAGGCAAGAGUGCAAAGGACUUUGUGUGUUGGAUUGCAUCCUUUAGUUGAUGGAUGUGUUGUUGAUGUUUUAAUUCCUCCCUUCUUUUCCUAAGCUUGGGGACAAUGGCCUCCUUGCUCUUGCGGAAUGUGAUGGCUGCUUCGGUGACUUCUGCCAGGUUCCUGAGCUGUGGCACAGCCUCCCGCUUAUUCUCCUCCUGGCUGGUGGGACGCUCAAAGACUGCCAGCCCAUUGCAGACCUUACCUGCCGCCAGACCGUGUCAUGUGGAUCUGCUGCCCUUUCUCACCAGUUGCCCGCCCCUCAGCUUGCAGCCAGUCGCUGGCAUAAAGUGCAAGGCAGUCCUCAGAAGGCGUUGCAAGGACUGUUUCAUUGUCCGCAGGCGUGGCCAUUUGUAUGUGUACUGUAAAACACAUCCGAGGCACAAGCAGAGAAAGUUGUAAGACUACUAGCGGAUGGAAGAAAUUUGUGAGCACAAGUCUUCACUGGACAAUUCUGAUUAUCCUGCAUACAAAAAACAUUGUCUUUUAUAGGAAACCUGGUCCAAUUGUAAGCCAUAGCGGUUUUAAGCCAACCAGCUUUGACGAAUAAAAUCACUUAAAAGUGUUGCUUACUUCAAAAAUUGUUUUAAAAUUAUAGUAUAAUUAUAAUGAAACUGUGUCAAAGAUUUCUUAGUUCAACAAACUAUAAAGUAGUCACCAUCCUAUACGGAAGUUAAGUCUUAUUGAGCACGGUGAUGCUUAUUUCAAGAAUUCAGUACAUCCUAACAAAGGUCACAAAUCAGACAAAGCUAGGAGAGUUUUCACUUGGUGUUUUUUUUAAUCUACCCCAUCACAAUCAGCCAUGGCAGGAUUAUAAUCUUACGUUCUGCUUUCUGCUUCUCUUUUAAAAAUAAUGUAUCUGUGGUUAGAGCAGGGAUAACACUUGACCACACAGUCAUUCUGGACAUGCACCUUAAAUUGUGGCCAUGGGCUCAGCCGGUGAAAGCAAGUAAACCAGCCAUCAUACUGGCAGAUGUCACAAAUGCCCAAGAGUCAGAGCAACCAGUCUGUUUCAUUUGCCUUUCCCCCAUAUCUUGGGUGCAUGUCUACUCAGAAUUAAUCUCCAUUAUAUCUACUUAGAAUUACUUUCCAUUAUGUUUAAUCGGGCUUGGGGAAGUGUGUACAGGAUUAUAACCUCAGUUGUUUUUGACACCUAAUGGUCUAAAAAGGGAACAGUUCACUGGAACUGUGUCAAAGACUUUAGUGUCUGGAGUCCGUUCUUGUCAUAAGCAACCAAGAUUGUGGCAAUCUACAAGCUUGAUCUAACUGAUUUAUAUAAAGUCAAGCUAGUUCUUGUAUCUCUUGACUACUUUAACCUGGCUAUUCUGCUUCAUAUGGGUGAAAGUUAACGUUGCUGUAUAAAUGCAAUGAGGCUGAUACACAGAAAAAUAUCUAGCAAGG